GAACCUGUAGCUCAGUAGGAUAGAGCGGCGCCCUCCUAAGGCGCGUGCGGGGGUUCGAUUCCUCUCAGGUUCGCCA
This 76-nucleotide transfer RNA is filed under the name Tissierellia bacterium. Its description in RNAcentral is "tRNA-Arg". It matches the Rfam family "tRNA". From Rfam's summary of the family: Transfer RNA (tRNA) molecules are approximately 80 nucleotides in length. Their secondary structure includes four short double-helical elements and three loops (D, anti-codon, and T loops). Further hydrogen bonds mediate the characteristic L-shaped molecular structure. tRNAs have two regions of fundamental functional importance: the anti-codon, which is responsible for specific mRNA codon recognition, and the 3' end, to which the tRNAs corresponding amino acid is attached (by aminoacyl-tRNA synthetases). tRNAs cope with the degeneracy of the genetic code in two manners: having more than one tRNA (with a specific anti-codon) for a particular amino acid; and 'wobble' base-pairing, i.e. permitting non-standard base-pairing at the 3rd anti-codon position. Lineage: Bacteria; Bacillati; Bacillota; Tissierellia. The record is from RNAcentral.